RNAcentral lists this ribosomal RNA (2900 nucleotides) under Klebsiella pneumoniae MGH 35. RNAcentral describes it as "bacterial LSU rRNA". It matches the Rfam family "Bacterial large subunit ribosomal RNA". The record is from RNAcentral. Lineage: Bacteria; Pseudomonadati; Pseudomonadota; Gammaproteobacteria; Enterobacterales; Enterobacteriaceae.
UUAAGCGACUAAGCGUACACGGUGGAUGCCCUGGCAGUCAGAGGCGAUGAAGGACGUGCUAAUCUGCGAAAAGCGUCGGUAAGGUGAUAUGAACCGUUAUAGCCGGCGAUGUCCGAAUGGGGAAACCCAGUGCAAUUCGUUGCACUAUCGUUAACUGAAUACAUAGGUUAACGAGGCGAACCGGGGGAACUGAAACAUCUAAGUACCCCGAGGAAAAGAAAUCAACCGAGAUUCCCCCAGUAGCGGCGAGCGAACGGGGAGCAGCCCAGAGUCUGAAUCAGCUUGUGUGUUAGUGGAACGGUCUGGAAAGUCCGACGGUACAGGGUGAUAGUCCCGUACACCAAAAUGCACAGGUUGUGAACUCGAAGAGUAGGGCGGGACACGUGGUAUCCUGUCUGAAUAUGGGGGGACCAUCCUCCAAGGCUAAAUACUCCUGACUGACCGAUAGUGAACCAGUACCGUGAGGGAAAGGCGAAAAGAACCCCGGCGAGGGGAGUGAAAAAGAACCUGAAACCGUGUACGUACAAGCAGUGGGAGCACCUUCGGGUGUGACUGCGUACCUUUUGUAUAAUGGGUCAGCGACUUAUAUUCUGUAGCAAGGUUAACCGUAUAGGGGAGCCGCAGGGAAACCGAGUCUUAACUGGGCGUUAAGUUGCAGGGUAUAGACCCGAAACCCGGUGAUCUAGCCAUGGGCAGGUUGAAGGUUGGGUAACACUAACUGGAGGACCGAACCGACUAAUGUUGAAAAAUUAGCGGAUGACUUGUGGCUGGGGGUGAAAGGCCAAUCAAACCGGGAGAUAGCUGGUUCUCCCCGAAAGCUAUUUAGGUAGCGCCUCGUGAACUCAUCUUCGGGGGUAGAGCACUGUUUCGGCUAGGGGGUCAUCCCGACUUACCAACCCGAUGCAAACUACGAAUACCGAAGAAUGUUAUCACGGGAGACACACGGCGGGUGCUAACGUCCGUCGUGAAGAGGGAAACAACCCAGACCGCCAGCUAAGGUCCCAAAGUCAUGGUUAAGUGGGAAACGAUGUGGGAAGGCACAGACAGCCAGGAUGUUGGCUUAGAAGCAGCCAUCAUUUAAAGAAAGCGUAAUAGCUCACUGGUCGAGUCGGCCUGCGCGGAAGAUGUAACGGGGCUAAACCAUGCACCGAAGCUGCGGCAGCGACACUAUGUGUUGUUGGGUAGGGGAGCGUUCUGUAAGCCUGCGAAGGUGUGCUGUGAGGCAUGCUGGAGGUAUCAGAAGUGCGAAUGCUGACAUAAGUAACGAUAAAGCGGGUGAAAAGCCCGCUCGCCGGAAGACCAAGGGUUCCUGUCCAACGUUAAUCGGGGCAGGGUGAGUCGACCCCUAAGGCGAGGCCGAAAGGCGUAGUCGAUGGGAAACAGGUUAAUAUUCCUGUACUUGGUGUUACUGCGAAGGGGGGACGGAGAAGGCUAUGUUAGCCGGGCGACGGUUGUCCCGGUUUAAGCAUGUAGGCUGGUUAUCCAGGCAAAUCCGGAUAAUCAAGGCUGAGGUGUGAUGACGAGGCACUACGGUGCUGAAGUAACAAAUGCCCUGCUUCCAGGAAAAGCCUCUAAGCAUCAGGUAACAUCAAAUCGUACCCCAAACCGACACAGGUGGUCAGGUAGAGAAUACCAAGGCGCUUGAGAGAACUCGGGUGAAGGAACUAGGCAAAAUGGUGCCGUAACUUCGGGAGAAGGCACGCUGGUGUGUAGGUGAAGUCCCUGCGGAUGGAGCUGAGACCAGUCGAAGAUACCAGCUGGCUGCAACUGUUUAUUAAAAACACAGCACUGUGCAAACACGAAAGUGGACGUAUACGGUGUGACGCCUGCCCGGUGCCGGAAGGUUAAUUGAUGGGGUUAUCCGUAAGGAGAAGCUCUUGAUCGAAGCCCCGGUAAACGGCGGCCGUAACUAUAACGGUCCUAAGGUAGCGAAAUUCCUUGUCGGGUAAGUUCCGACCUGCACGAAUGGCGUAAUGAUGGCCAGGCUGUCUCCACCCGAGACUCAGUGAAAUUGAACUCGCUGUGAAGAUGCAGUGUACCCGCGGCAAGACGGAAAGACCCCGUGAACCUUUACUAUAGCUUGACACUGAACAUUGAGCCUUGAUGUGUAGGAUAGGUGGGAGGCUUUGAAGCGUGGACGCCAGUCUGCGUGGAGCCAACCUUGAAAUACCACCCUUUAAUGUUUGAUGUUCUAACGUUGGCCCCUUACCGGGGUUGCGGACAGUGUCUGGUGGGUAGUUUGACUGGGGCGGUCUCCUCCCAAAGCGUAACGGAGGAGCACGAAGGUUAGCUAAUCCUGGUCGGACAUCAGGAGGUUAGUGCAAUGGCAUAAGCUAGCUUGACUGCGAGCGUGACGGCGCGAGCAGGUGCGAAAGCAGGUCAUAGUGAUCCGGUGGUUCUGAAUGGAAGGGCCAUCGCUCAACGGAUAAAAGGUACUCCGGGGAUAACAGGCUGAUACCGCCCAAGAGUUCAUAUCGACGGCGGUGUUUGGCACCUCGAUGUCGGCUCAUCACAUCCUGGGGCUGAAGUAGGUCCCAAGGGUAUGGCUGUUCGCCAUUUAAAGUGGUACGCGAGCUGGGUUUAGAACGUCGUGAGACAGUUCGGUCCCUAUCUGCCGUGGGCGCUGGAGAAUUGAGGGGGGCUGCUCCUAGUACGAGAGGACCGGAGUGGACGCAUCACUGGUGUUCGGGUUGUCAUGCCAAUGGCACUGCCCGGUAGCUAAAUGCGGAAGAGAUAAGUGCUGAAAGCAUCUAAGCACGAAACUUGCCCCGAGAUGAGUUCUCCCUGAGACUUUAAGUCUCCUGAAGGAACGUUAAAGACGAUGACGUUGAUAGGCCGGGUGUGUAAGCGCAGCGAUGCGUUGAGCUAACCGGUACUAAUGAACCGUGAGGCUUAACCUU